GGAUGAAUAUUGGACAAUGGGCGCAAGCCUGAUCCAGCCAUGCCGCGUGCAGGAAGACGGUCCUAUGGAUUGUAAACUGCUUUUAUACAGGAAGAAACACACCCUCGUGAGGGUACUUGACGGUACUGUAUGAAUAAGCAUCGGCUAACUCCGUGCCAGCAGCCGCGGUAAUACGGAGGAUGCAAGCGUUAUCCGGAAUCAUUGGGUUUAAAGGGUCCGUAGGCGGUUUAAUAAGUCAGUGGUGAAAGCC
RNAcentral lists this ribosomal RNA (250 nucleotides) under uncultured bacterium. RNAcentral's name for it is "partial 16S ribosomal RNA". It matches the Rfam family "Bacterial small subunit ribosomal RNA", at positions 355 to 602 of the family's 1533-position model. The record is from RNAcentral.